AUAUUUUUGGUUGGUGAUUUAGCCUGAAUUUGCUAACAAUGGCAUGGUGUCUACUUUGAUUUUGUUUAGCUGGAAUAAUCAAGUAUUAGUCCAUUCUUUCACUGCUAUUAAAUACCUGAGACUGGGUAGUUUAUAGGGAAAAGAAGAUUAAUUGGCUGAAGGUUCUGCAGACUGUAUGAGAAGCAUAGUGGCUUCUGAGAAAACCUCAGGAAAGUUAGAAUCAUGGUGGUGUAGGAGGACUAGCCACAGACAAAACCACUCAGACACCGGGUUAAGAAGGAAGUGGCUUUAUUUGGCCAGGAGCAUCAGCAGACUUGCAUGUCAAGAACUGAGCUCUCUGAAGAAAGAGUUCCUGGCCCUUUUAAGAACUUACAACUCUAAGGGGUUCACGUGAAAGGGUUGUGAUAGAUUGACAUUCAGAGAUAGCAUAUGUGAUUAGAGGGGGGCUAAUCUUUAACCUCUCUCUUCAUUCCCCCAUUUGAGAACCUUACUCACUAGUGGGAGGUCUCACUCUCAUCUUCACUACCCAGGUCUUUCUGCAAGACAGAUCGACAGUGAUUCAUGUAAUACACUUGUGUAUUACAAGACAUUCAUGUAAUACAUUUGUGCUGAAGUUUUCUGAUGAACCAAGGUAGUAACAAAACUUCUUAGAAGUUGGAGAAAUAUGGGUAACAAACAAAGGAGCAAUAGGAGGGUUGCAGCUGGAGAUCUGGGGAGGAGCUGGUGUUUUUUAGUUUGAGGGUCAUGCAGCUAUAGACCCUGGGAGGAGCAGGAGUUUCUUUAGUUUGAGGGUUGGGCAGCUGCAGAACCCGGGAGAAUCUGAUGUUCUGGUUUGAGGGUCCUGCAGCUGGAGACCCAGAGAGCAGCUGGUGUUUCUUUAGUUUGAUGGCCGUGCAGCUGUAGAACCCAGGGGGAGCUGGUAUUUUUCUAGUAUGAGUGUCCUGCAGCUGGAGACCUGGAGAAGAGCUGAUGUUCUAGUUUGAGGGUCGUGCCGCUGAAGACUCAGGGAGAAGCUGAUGUUCUCGUUUGAGGAUACUGCAGCUGGAGACCUGGAGAGGAGCUGAUGUUAUUCUAGUUUGAGGAUCAUGGAGCUUGAGAUCCACAGAGGAGCAGGUAUUGUUCUAGAUUGAGGUUCAUGUAGCUGAAGACCUGGGGAGCAGCGGGUGUUUUUUAGUUUGAGGGUCAUGCAGCUGUAGAACCCGGGAGGAGCUGGUGUUUUUCUAGUAUGAGUGUCCUGCAGCUGGAGACCUGGAGAGGAGCUGAUGUUGUUCUAGUUUGAGGGUUGUGCAGCUGAAGACUUGGAGGGGAGCUGAUGUUGUUCUUGUUGAGGGUGGUGCAGCUGAAGACUCGGGAAGGAGCUAAUGUUCUAGUUUGAGGGCCGUGAUCUGGGGACUUGGAGAGGAGCUGAUGUUGUUCUAGUUUGAGGGUCAGGCAACUGAAGACCCGGGGAGGAGCUGAUGUUGUUCUAGUUUGAGGUUCAUGCAGCUGGAGACCUGGGGAGCAGCGGGUGUUUUUUAGUUUGAGGGUCAUGCAGCUGUAGAACCCGGGAGGAGCUGGCGUUUUUCUAAUAUGAGUAUCCUGCAGCUGGAGACCAGGAGAGUUGCUGAUGUUCUAGUCUGAAGGUCGUGCAGCUGAAGACGGGGGAGGGUUCUAGUUUGAGUGCCCUGCAGCUGAAGACUCGGGAAGGAGCUGAUGUUGUCCUUGUUUUACGAUCUUUCAGCUGGAGACUCAAAGAGGAGCUGAUGUUGUUCUAAUUUGAGUGUAAUGGAGCUGGAGACCCGGGGUGGAGCUGAUGUUGUUCUAGUUUGAGUGUUGUGCAGCUGGAGAUCCAAGAAGGAGGUGGUCUUGUGGUUCAAAUCUGAGGGUCCUGGAGCUGGAAUCUAUGGGAGGAGUCAAUGCUGCCACUGAUGUCUUAGAUUGUGCAGCAGAAGACCCACAGAGGAGCCGGUGUUGGUGUUCUAGUGUGAGGGUGUGGAUCUGGAGAUCCAUGGGGGAGUGACGUUCUUCUAGUUUUUGGGUUGUGGUGCUGGAGACCCAGGGAGGAGCUCAUGGUGUUCUAGUUGAGGGUCGUGGUGCUGGAGACCCAGGGAGGAGUCGAUCCUUCUGUUGUUUAAGUCUGAAGGUCAUCGAGCUGGAGAUCCGGGGAAGAGCUGGUGCUGCGGUUCAAGUCUGAGGGUCCUGGAGCUUGAGACCCCAGGAGGAGAUGGUGCUGCCACGAAUGUCUUAGGUUGUAAAGCUGGAGACCUGCGAAGGAGCCGGUGUUGCUGUUUUAGUGUGAGGUUUGUGGAGCUGGAGUCCCAGGGGGAAAAUGGUGUUUUUCUGGCUUAAGGGUCAUGCAGCUGACCCUCAGAUGACCUCAAACUAUAACAACACUGCUCCACCCUGGAUCUCCAGCUCCAAAAUCCUCACAAUAGAAAAACAUCUGCUCCUCCCUGAGUGUCCAGCUCCACGAUGCUCAAACUAGAUUAAAAUCAGCUCCUUCCCAGGUGUCCAGCUGCAUGACCCUCAAACUAGAAACACCCGGGGAGGUUUUAUUAGUUUGCUGCUGUUUUUCUAGAUUGAGGGUCAUGCAGCUGGAGACGUGGGGAGGAGCUGAUGUUGUUCGAGUUUGAGGGUCAUGGAGCUUGGAGACCCAGGCAGGAGCUGGUGUUUUUCUAGUUUGAGGGUUGUGCAGCUGGAGACCCAGGGAGAAGCUGAUGUUGCUCUUAUUUGAGAGCUGUGGAGCUGGAGACCUGGAGAGGAGCUGAUGGUGUUCUAGUUUGAUGGUUGCAGAGCUGGAGACCCAGGGAGGAGCUGUUGUUUUUCUAGUUUGAGUUUCGUGCAGCUGAAGACCAUUGGAGGAGCUGAUGUUCUAGUUUGAGGGUUGUGCAGCUGGAGAUACAGGGAGAAGGUGGUCUUGCAGUUUAAAUGUGAGGGUCUUGGAGCUGGAAUCCAUGGGAGGAGCCAAUGCUGCCACUGAUGUCUUAGGUUGUGGAGCUGAAGACCCGCAGAGGAGCCAGUGUUGGUGUUCCAGUGUGAGGUUCGUGGAUCUGGAGACCCACGGAGGAGCAGGUGUUGGUGUUCUAGUGUGAGGGUCAUGGAUCUGGAGAUCCAUGGGGGAGUGGUGUUCUUCUAGUUUGUGGGUUGUGGUGCUGGAGACCCAGGGAGGAGCUGAUUCUUUUGUUGUUUAAGUCUGAAGGUCGUCAAGCUGGAGAUCCGGGGAAGAGCUGGUGCUGCGAUUCAAGUCUGAGGGUCCUGGAGCUUGAGACCCCAGGAGGAGAUGGUGCUGCCACUAAUGUCUUAGAUUGUAAAGCUGGAGAUCUGUGGAGGAGCUGGUGUUUCUGUUCUAGUGUAAGGUUUGUGGAUCUGGAGUCCCAGGGGUGAGCAGUGUUGUUUUAGUUUGAGGGUCAUGGAGUUAGAGACCCGGGGAGGAGCUGAUGUUGUAGUUUGAGGGUCGUGCAGCUGGAGACCCAGGGAGGAGCUGGUGUGUUUCUAGUUGGAGGGUUGUGGAGCUGGAGAUUCAC
Molecule: long non-coding RNA, 3503 nt
Filed under: Homo sapiens (human)
Lineage: Eukaryota; Metazoa; Chordata; Mammalia; Primates; Hominidae
Description: HSALNT0050171
Source: RNAcentral